CUCCCCGCCGCCCCCGGUAUACAAAUAUAAGUCACCUCCUCCCCCCGUCUACCACUACAGCUCGCCACCACCGCCGGUUUACAAGUACAAGUCGCCACCACCACCUGUGUACCAUGCCCCGGCUCCUGUUUACAAGUACGAGUCGCCCCCCCCACCGGUUUACAAGUACAGCUCCCCUCCACCGCCGGUCUACAAAUAUAAGUCGCCACCACCUCCUGUGUACCACGCCCCGGCUCCUGUUUACAAGUACAAGUCACCUCCUCCCCCCGUCUACCACUACAGCUCGCCACCACCGCCGGUUUACAAGUACAAGUCACCACCACCACCUGUGUACCACGCCCCGGCACCAGUUUACAAGUACAACUCGCCACCACCCCCAGUUUACAAGUACAGCUCGCCACCACCACCUGUUUACAAAUACAAGUCGCCACCACCACCUGUGUACCACACCCCGGCUCCUGUUUACAAGUACGAGUCGCCUCCUCCGCCGGUGUACAAGUACAGCUCCCCGCCGCCACCGGUCUACAAAUAUAAGUCGCCACCACCACCUGUGUACCACGUCCCAGCGCCGGUUUACAAGUACGAAUCUCCUCCGCCACCGGUGUACAAGUACAGCUCUCCGCCACCACCAGUCUACAAGUAUAAGUCGCCACCACCACCUGUGUACCACGCCCCUGCUCCAGUCUACAAGUACAAAUCUCCUCCGCCACCGGUGUACAAGUACAGCUCGCCACCACCACCGGUUUACAAAUACAAGUCGCCUCCUCCACCUGUUUACCACGCCCCGGCUCCAGUCUACAAGUACAAAUCCCCGCCACCACCGGUGUAUCACUA
Molecule: long non-coding RNA, 834 nt
Filed under: Selaginella moellendorffii
Lineage: Eukaryota; Viridiplantae; Streptophyta; Lycopodiopsida; Selaginellales; Selaginellaceae
Description: long non-coding RNA (SMOE_LNC000956)
Source: RNAcentral